Monodelphis domestica (gray short-tailed opossum) is the source of this 1153-nucleotide non-coding RNA. The record is from RefSeq and is a predicted model, not a curated record. Lineage: Eukaryota; Metazoa; Chordata; Mammalia; Didelphimorphia; Didelphidae.
AGGGCAGCAAGGGACAAAGAGUAGCAACAUUAAAGGUAAAAUGACUUAAUUAGUGGGGGAAAAGAAAAAGACUUUGAAGAGGCUGUUUUUGUUUCCAGGGUUGAAUGGAACUACAUACACUUUCAAGAUGAACAGUACCACAAAGUCCGCCAGAAGUUUGCUACAUUCUAAAGCAAGGAGACGUGCUAAUAUGCAGCAAGAAAAUUACCUAAAAGAAUUAAAUGAGGAUCUGAAACUAAGAAAAGAGGAGUUGGUGGCGAUACUGAAACCCUUGGAAGAGAAGAAUGGCACCUUACUUCAGAACUUAAUGACAAAUUUAGAGGAAAAACAAAAGAGUCUACAGAUCAUGAGGCAGAUCAUGGUAGCAAAAGGGGAUGAUUCCGAUGAUACCAUUGUCCUGGAGAUGAUCCAAGAAGCAGAAGAGCUAAAACAGAACCUGGAAAGAAAAAAUAUGUUGCUUCGAAGAGAAAUGGAUUUGCUAUGGAACAAGCAAGCAAUUGAAGAUGAGCAUCGUUGUCAACAGAAAGAAAUGCUACUCAAAAGCAAGGCAGAAAUGAAAGCGUUAAAGGAGAAGCUCCAGAGGCAAAAGGAUAUGAUCACUUUUCAACGGGAACCUGACAAACUUCAGGAACUUCAUGGUAAAGUGAUUGAGGAGAACAUUGAUACAAUGAUGAACCCUCAGGCAAAUGACCUUUUACUACAUGAUCUGAGUGAGAAUUUGGAGACAUCUGAAGACUGCUCCAAAUUUCAUAGUACCUCAAGGUAAAAACUAGCCUAGCCUACAUGACAAGGACUUAGUAGAUGUUAGACCAGGCCUGCUUUAACAGGUAUUCCAGAUCCUCCGGCAGUGGGCAGAAAUCAAUCUCUGAAUGUGGGAGUUUAAGGAGCAGAGACCUUAGUAGAAGAUCCAGAUUCUAAGGAAAAUCUGGAUGAUGAUGUAAGCAGGGAGUUUAAGGAACGAAGAUCUUAGUGGAAGACUCAGGAACUAAGGAAAGUUUGGUUAGGCUCUUUUCUCUGGAUCUGCACCAGGCUGAAGCUUUGCCAAGUUCAGAUGACAUUCUGAAGAUUAGGUGGUUUAAACUUUGCUUUGGACUUUAAAACAGGACCUGGCAUUUUGUAUUAAUUAAAACAUCCCUGCAAUUUUCUCCUGCUA